RNAcentral lists this ribosomal RNA (349 nucleotides) under uncultured prokaryote. Its description in RNAcentral is "partial 16S ribosomal RNA". The record is from RNAcentral.
CCCUACGGGGUGCACCAGGUAACCGUUCUGACUUCUCAAUUUGACCCUCAGCUCCCGCGUGAGGAAGUAUGUGAAGGAGUCCGUGUCAUUCGUGUUCCAGUUUUGAUGCGCUUAAGCAAGGGAGUGAUUAUGCCUUCUUUCGGUCGGCUUGCAAGCAAACUGGUGCGAGAAAAUGAUGUUCUCCAAUUACACCUGCCCCAAUUUGAUGCCGCCGGAGUGGCGUUGCGGGGACGCCUGCAUCGCAAACCGACGAUUAUUACCUAUCAUUGUGAUCUCGAAUUACCUCCGGGAGUAUUUAAUCGCAUUGCCAACCUGGCUGUGCUGGCAAUGAAUGAAUUGGCGGGGGGGC